Molecule: ribosomal RNA, 482 nt
Filed under: uncultured Pelotomaculum sp.
Lineage: Bacteria; Bacillati; Bacillota; Clostridia; Eubacteriales; Desulfotomaculaceae
Description: bacterial SSU rRNA
Rfam family: Bacterial small subunit ribosomal RNA
Source: RNAcentral
CAAAGGAAUUGACGGGGCCCGCACAAGCGGUGGAGCAUGUGGUUUAAUUCGACGCAACGCGAAGAACCUUACCAGGGCUUGACAUCCCCUGACCGCGUAUGAAAGUACGUUUUCACCCUCGGGUGACAGGGAGACAGGUGGUGCAUGGUUGUCGUCAGCUCGUGUCGUGAGAUGUUGGGUUAAGUCCCGCAACGAGCGCAACCCCUACGUUUAGUUGCUAACGCGUGAAGGCGAGCACUCUAGACGAACUGCCGUUGACAAAACGGAGGAAGGUGGGGAUGACGUCAAAUCAUCAUGCCCCUUAUGUUCUGGGCUACACACGUGCUACAAUGGCCGGUACAGACGGACGCAAAGCCGCGAGGUGGAGCAAAUCCUAAAAAGCCGGUCUCAGUUCGGAUUGCAGGCUGCAAUUCGCCUGCAUGAAGUCGGAAUCGCUAGUAAUCGCAGGUCAGCAUACUGCGGUGAAUACGUUCCCGGGCCUU